This 1475-nucleotide ribosomal RNA is filed under the name Candidatus Pelagibacter sp. Its description in RNAcentral is "bacterial SSU rRNA". It matches the Rfam family "Bacterial small subunit ribosomal RNA". Lineage: Bacteria; Pseudomonadati; Pseudomonadota; Alphaproteobacteria; Candidatus Pelagibacterales; Candidatus Pelagibacteraceae. The record is from RNAcentral.
AAACUUGAGAGUUUGAUCAUGGCUCAGAACGUACGCUGGCGGCACGCCUAACACAUGCAAGUCGAACGAAGUAGCAAUACUUAGUGGCAGACGGGUGAGUAACAUGUAGGUAUCUGCCCUUUGGCCUGGAAUAACACGAGGAAACUUGUGCUAAUACCGGAUAAGUCUUUACGGAGAAAGCUUUAUGCACCAUUGGAUGAGCCUGCACUUGAUUAGUUUGUUGGUGGGGUAAUGGCCUACCAAGACUGUGAUCAAUAGCUGAUUUGAGAGGAUGAUCAGCCACAUUGGGACUGAGACACGGCCCAAACUCCUACGGGAGGCAGCAGUGGGGAAUCUUGCACAAUGGAGGAAACUCUGAUGCAGCGAUGCCGCGUGAGUGAAGAAGGCCCUUGGGUUGUAAAGCUCUUUCGUCGGGGAAGAAAAUGACUGUACCCGAAUAAGAAGGUCCGGCUAACUUCGUGCCAGCAGCCGCGGUAAUACGAAGGGACCUAGCGUAGUUCGGAAUUACUGGGCUUAAAGAGUUCGUAGGUGGUUGAAAAAGUUGGUGGUGAAAUCCCAGAGCUUAACUCUGGAACUGCCAUCAAAACUUUUCAGCUAGAGUAUGAUAGAGGAAAGCAGAAUUUCUAGUGUAGAGGUGAAAUUCGUAGAUAUUAGAAAGAAUACCAAUUGCGAAGGCAGCUUUCUGGAUCAUUACUGACACUGAGGAACGAAAGCAUGGGUAGCGAAGAGGAUUAGAUACCCUCGUAGUCCAUGCCGUAAACGAUGUGUGUUAGACGUUGGAAAUUUAUUUUCAGUGUCGCAGCGAAAGCGAUAAACACACCGCCUGGGGAGUACGACCGCAAGGUUAAAACUCAAAUGAAUUGACGGGGACCCGCACAAGUAGUGGAGCAUGUGGUUUAAUUCGAAGAUACGCGCAGAACCUUACCAACACUUGACAUGUUCGUCGCGACUCUAAGAGAUUAGAGUUUUCGGUUCGGCCGGACGAAACACAGGUGCUGCAUGGCUGUCGUCAGCUCGUGUCGUGAGAUGUUGGGUUAAGUCCCGCAACGAGCGCAACCCUCACUUUUAGUUGCCAUCAUUAAGUUGGGCACUCUGAAAGAACUGCCAGUGAUAAGCUGGAGGAAGGUGGGGAUGACGUCAAGUCCUCAUGGCCCUUACGUGUUGGGCUACACACGUGCUACAAUGGUAUCUACAACAGGAAGCAAGACGGCGACGUUAAGCAAAUCCUUAAAAGAUACCUCAGUUCGGAUUGCACUCUGCAACUCGAGUGCAUGAAGCUGGAAUUACUAGUAAUCGUGGAUCAGCGUGCCACGGUGAAUGCGUUCCCGGGUCUUGUACACACCGCCCGUCACACCAUGGGAGUUGGUUCUACCUUAAGGCAAGGUUUAAUAUCCUUGACCACGGUAUAGUCAGCGACUGGGGUGAAGUCGUAACAAGGUAGCCGUAGGGGAACCUGCGGCUGGAUUACCUCCUUU